GCUUCAAAUCAGCAGAAAGAUCAUGGUAGCUGAGCCUUAGGGCAGGAACAAUUUCAUCAGCAUUUUCUAAAUUCCAUAUCUCAUUGUUUAACACGUCAUUCCAUUCUUCUCCUUCGGUUUUUGCCCUCAGUAACCUUCCAAUUGCCUUUAAAGCUAAAGGCAAACCACCACAUUUUUUUACAAUACCUUCAGCUUGUGGUUUAAGUGUUGUAUGUGAGUCAAAGUUAUCUACAUCCAAUGCAUGUAGAGCUAAUAAAGACAAAGCUAGCCCCAGAAUGAAAUGGACGCACUAGGUUUUCCCAGUCGUCAUAGUUUUCAUUCCAAACAUCAUCAAGUACUAGAAGAAAUCUUUUGUCCUUAAGUUGCUCUCUCAGAGCAGUUUGAAGCAGAUUUAUGUCUUUAAACUGCUUGUUUUCUGUAGCCACUGAUUGGAAGAUGGUUUCACUUAUUUUAAAUAUAUCAAACACGUCGGAAACACAAACCCAUAUCAUGAGUUCAAAGUGACCUUUCACCCGUGUAUCGUUAUACAAUAUUCUUGCCAGAGUGGUUUUCCCCACCCCACCCAUACCAACGAUGGGCACAAUAACAAAGUUUUGUUUAGAUGGUUCAUCCUGCAACAACUUGUUGAUCAACUUCUCUUUCUCACCUUCUCGCCCAACAACAUCAGAUUCUAGCAAAGAGGUUUCGUUUCGCCUACUACUACUUUUUGGCUUAUCAUCUCUCACAAUCAAACCCAGAUCAGACUUUCGUUUUUCUAGUUGUUGUAACUGGGUGGUAAUACUAUCUAACUUGGGAGACAACCUAUGACUUAGUGAGAAUUUUGUGAAGAAACUUGGGACCAUGAGCUUUCUUACCUUGCUGAUGACUGAUCCCGAUUCCUGUGUCAGCUCACGAUGUAUAGCUUCGGUAGCCACAUCGU
RNAcentral lists this long non-coding RNA (919 nucleotides) under Helianthus annuus (common sunflower). Lineage: Eukaryota; Viridiplantae; Streptophyta; Magnoliopsida; Asterales; Asteraceae. The record is from RNAcentral.